RNAcentral lists this long non-coding RNA (287 nucleotides) under Setaria viridis. Its description in RNAcentral is "long non-coding RNA (SVIR_LNC009852)". The record is from RNAcentral. Lineage: Eukaryota; Viridiplantae; Streptophyta; Magnoliopsida; Poales; Poaceae.
UGUAUUGGAUCUUGUGCUAUAAAUACCUAGAGGGCAUUGCCCCCUCCAAUUUAGGGGUAUAUAUAUCGAUUGGGGAAUCAGGGAUGGAGAAAAGUCUGGGAACUGUGGCGGCGGCUGCGACAACCAAUGGAGUCGAGGGGGAAUCCAUUCCGCGAAGGUUCUCGCGGGAGAAGGGGUCAUUCGAGGUUAGGGAAUAGGGUUUAUUGACGAUAUUUUCUUUCCUACGACGUGGACCCUACCUUACUUCCCACACUAUCGUUGCCGCCAGAUGAAAGGGAUAGAGUAGG